Molecule: long non-coding RNA, 3014 nt
Organism: Daktulosphaira vitifoliae (grape phylloxera)
Lineage: Eukaryota; Metazoa; Arthropoda; Insecta; Hemiptera; Phylloxeridae
Exons: 7
Source: RefSeq, a predicted model, not a curated record
UCCAGAGGUCAAAUUUUUUUUUUUCAAAUUAAAGUAUAUUACAUUAGCUUUAAUUUAAGAUAUAUAUAAAAGUGUCAGACCUUCCGGAACAUUUUCAAAAGUUAAGUUGAAAAAGUUAAUUUUUUGUGAAAAAGUUGUCUUUUUAAAUCCCCCCCUGUGGGCAGAUAAAGGGUCAAAUUUACAAAAAAAAUAUAUCAAAUGAUAGGUAAAGACAUCAAGCAUCUAUAUAAAAAAAAAUUAUAUUGAUACGUUCAUUUUUGAAAAAGUUACGGCAUAUUUUAGUAAAAAAAAUUGAAAAAAUUUCGAAAAUUAGCGAUUUUUAAAUUUGUAAAUUUUUUGGAGGUUUCCCCCAUUUACGGGGAACGAGGGAAUUUUUUUCAAUUUUUAAGGGUAAUGUCUUCGACUAGAUACGAUUUGUGAUCUUUUGACGUAUCGUUGAAAGAAAUCCGUUCGGUGAGAGCUGAGAAAAAGUGGUAACAGACACAAAAAAAAAAAAAAAACACAUCAUAGUAAAACCAAUACCUUCUCAGCUUCGCAUCGAAGCUAAAAUAAUUAUAAUGUAGUAUAAGUACUUGAAUAAUUUGUACUAAAAAUUGUCAUAGCCCUCAUAAUAUAGAUUUUAUAAAUGAAUAUGUUUACAAUAUAAUGGGCGAUAAAUAACGAAUAACAAGAUAACUUUAAAGGAUGGUCUAUUAAUAAUAAUUUUAGUUUAUUUAAGAGACAAGUCUAACUACCGUUUUCAGCAGAUGGAAAUAAUAUUUUCAAAACUGUUGGUUCAUUGAUUAUUCAAAUCAACGGACAGAUAUUUGAGAAAAUUAAUACUGAAGUCAAUUGAGCCACAAGUAGUAAGAGCGACAAAUUGAAAUAUAAGAUUAGCUCAUAAGUAAACUAGCAACGUGGUGUUUAUAAGCAAAAAACGUUGUCAACGAUCUGUUCCUUCAAAAUUCUCAAAGCAAUGUUACCAGUUUGCUUAUACAGCAGGCCACACAACUGACAAGUGAAAUCGACAUUCAAAUUUAUUAAAAACAAUUGAUCAUAUUGAGAAGAGAAAAAGACUUUAAAGAGAUGUAAUGAUGGAUCACUGAAAAACAGUAUUGUUAAUGCUUCAAAACAUCUUGAAGAAAAAUAAAUAAAUCAGUCAGUUUUGGAGGAAUUUUUAAGCAAAAAAAAUUUUACUAAUCAAGUGCUCUAGAUCAAUUACGCAACAAUUUAUUAUAAGUGUUAAUUUUCCAUUUAGAAUAAUUGAAAAUCCUGUUUUAAAGGAAAUAAUUGAAUGAGAUUUCCCCAACAGAAAACUUAUGUAUCGGCCUACUUAAAUGAAAAUUAUUGAGAAUGGCUUUCAUAAAUUAUCCUUCAAAAUAAAAUCUGAGAUAUUUAAAUGUGAUCAUAUUGCAAUGACUGCAGAUGGUUGUUAAAUUUUUAAAAAAUAUUUUUUGUUAGAUUGUACAUUGGAGUAAUAGUCAUAUAGAUCAAAAAGAAUUUACUUAGAACUACUAGUCUUUUAACACUAAGAAGACUAGAAGGGUCACAUACAUAUGAUAUCUUAGCUAAAUCUAUAAAUGAAGUAUACACACAGUUUGAAAUUUCGGAUUAAUUUUAUUGUACUACAUAUUAUGGUUCUAAUUUUGUAAAAUGUUUUAAAAUAUUAGUCAUGUACUUGAUGAAAAUAAUGAAAUUUCUAAUCAGUUGCUUGUGAACAAUUCAGUAGAAGUAGAUGAUAAAAUAGAAGAAAUUGAUGUCGUAAAUAGGAGCUAUGUUACUAAAAUCAUAGAUUUUUUGCACACGCAAUUAAUUUGAUAGCAACAUUGGUAAAUAUAAAUGAAUAUAGAUGGAUACCAUCCAUUAUAAAUUUAAAAGGUAACAUUUUAGAUCAAAUAUUUUAUUUGGUUAUAAACCAUUUCUGUAUAAUACUCUAAAAAAUCUUUGUGUAUUGCUGCUUUUAAAAAACAGUCCAAAAUCACUUUUGUCAAGUCAACUGCUUUGUAGAACAAACAAGAGAACUCGACCAAGUUAGCUGAUUUAAUCAAAUAAAAUCUUGGUGUUUAUUUAAUAACACCCUACGAGACAUGUUGGAAUAUGAUGCAGUGGUGUUGCUUAAUAAAUUAAUUAAAAAUAAUGAACUUCAAUUUAGAAUUAUUAUGGAUGAAUUGGCUAUUAUGAUUAUAUUUCAUUGUAUAUAUAUAUAUAUAUAUUAUAUUUUUUCAAAUUUAAUAGAUAUGAGAUUGAAUUUUUAAAUCAAUGUCAAAAAAUAAUGGGACUAAUUUCUGUAAGCCUUGAUUUACUGUAAGGUGAUACUAAUUUAUAUUUUGGUAAUCUCUUACAUACUAUUGAAAUAAAUAAAUAUAUAUAUAAAAAUACAUAAAUAUAGACCAAUGACAUUUGAUCACACAAUUCCUAAUUAUAUGUAUGAAAACAAAGUUUUCUAAUUCUUAGAUGAACAAUUUUUUAAUUACUGCUAUUGUCUGCCACCUACAAUUUAAAAUUGUCUGGAUUAAAAAUGAAGUAAAAAAACAAAUGACCACUGAGUAUUUUACAAAUGCCUGUUAUGAAUUUUACCAAAAUAUUUGUGAAAAUGAUUCUACAGAUUAUAGCCAAAGUCAUGAUAAUUUAUUGAGAUUCUUUACCGAUUGACAGAUUCUAGGGUACAUCUACGGCAAAUCAUUAAAAUGUUUACAUAAUUUACCCACAAUUAAAAAAUUUUUCAUUAAACACAACAUUGCUCUAUCAAACAUUGCAUAAUUUGAGAGAGUUUUUAGUGUUGUUGGUGCUACAAUCACUAAAAAAAGGACUAACAUGUCUAAUAAACAAUUUGAAUAAAUAAUAUUUUUUAAGUGUAACCAACAAUUUUUUUAUUUAAAAAAAUUAACUUCAAAUUUCAAAUUUUUUUUUUUUCAUUUGAAGAUUAUUUUAAAUACAUAGUUAUUAAUAGUACUUGGGUGGUUAUUUAAGUAUUAUUUUUGGAAAUUUGUUGAGUAAUUACUUAAAUAUAUUUUAAAAGUAUUUUUUACAACACU